UAAAUCCCUCCCCUCUUUAAUGCUACGAUCCUUUAAACGCUAAAUGGCUCAAGCCCCAGGACAAUCAACUGAGCGAAUGGAAAAAGCCCACCCAUUCCAAACCAAUUGGCUCGCAUCCACCUCCACAGAAGCCAAUCGAAAUACAAUUCUCCAUCUCAAACCCCGCCACCCUCCGAACGACAGAUGACGUUCUCCUAACCUAUUGGAUAAUCUAGUGGUCAAUCCGUGGACGCUCUCCCUUAUUGGCCAAGGCCACCAUCAAUCCAAGAAAAUUCAACGUCCAUUGGCUAAUAGUACCCAUCAAUCAUUUCAAGUGAGGCGGGCAAAGAACAAGAGUCAGGACUUCAGCUUCUUCCACCAUAUUGGCCGGAUUCUCACAGCGGACAUGUUACAUCAAUUCAUACGGAAACAUCGACAUUAAAUUUAAACAAAGAGGAAAUUGGAGAACCCUGAGCAAACCCACACAGUCGCAGGAAGACACAGGAGGUUCUGCAGAUGCUGGUAUCUGGAGCAACGCACACAAGAUGCUGGAGGAACUCAACAGAUUAUCUAAAUCAGAAUGAGAUCUGACCACCUACAAUAAGGAAGUGUCUUGUGGAUGUUGUUUGAACUGAAGAGUUGUCAACCCUGGAGAUGGAGGCAAUGGCAGAUAUUCUUUAAAAAUCUUGCCUGGGACAAAGGGACUUUCUUGUAAAGAUUCCCUUGUCUUUGAAGGAGUUCAAGUAAGAUUUGUAUAUAUGUGUGUUUAUAUAUUGUAUCUCCAUGCUCCCAGGACACCUCAAAGCGAAACAUAGGAACUGGGAGUCAAUUUGCAUACUGAAUAGUUUCCAAAACUGUAAUAUAAUGAUCUUCUUUUGUGCUGUUGGUUGAAGGAUUAAAUAUGAUAUAUUAAAUAUCUUCAAAUUGAUGUAGCAGGGAAAGGAACUAAUAAAUGACCUUGUUCAGAAGCAAGAGCAAGGCAAAGUGUGUGUAGGAGUAAUGACAAACAGAAAUGAGGCAGAUUGCAGUUAAAGUGUGACUUAAGCUAAGGAGCCUUGGGAGCCUACACCAGACUUGGGAGGGGAGAUUGAGGUGAGAGAAGGACUGAAAUAUUGAGUGGGAUAAGUAUCAGAUGUUUGAGGCCUCGUAGACCAUAGACCAAUGCUCUGGUGGGGUGGAUAGAAGGCAAGAACAACACUGGCCAGAGGCACAACAGAAACAGGUAAGUGGGACGGAAGGACCAGACUGGUUGGAAGCUGUUUAUUACAGACUGAUUGACAAAUGGACUAGAUUUUUCUUUUUUUAGAAUGAUCCCAGGGGUGAGGGAGUUCCGCUAUGGGGGUAGAUUGGAAGAGCUGGGUUGAGCUCUUUAGAGCAAAGAAAAUUAAGAAGAGAUUUGGUGAAGGUAUCCAAGAUCAUGACUAGUUUAGAUGGGAUAUAUAGAAGGCUGUUCCCAUGAAUAGGUUAGUUGUGGAAUGGGAUAAGAUAGGUUUUAAUAGGAAGUGGAGGUGUCCUUCUCCAAACUGGCACAAAGUCAUUGGGCCUGGUAUGCCAUAAAAAGUUUGAGAUUCUGUAUUGAAAGAAUUUUUCCAUAGUAAAUGACAACACAGAAGAGCGAACCAAAAUGUCAUAAAAAGGUAAAGUAACGUGGUCAGGAAGAGCCUAGUUUUCAAAACAUUAAACAUUGUUCAGUAGAACAAAUUGCUUCCAGGGAUUAAUUUUGACUGGGUGGUCCAUUCUUUAAUGCGGAGCUAGAGGCUUGGUGGCACUGGGCUGUUUCAGGCUUUCAUGAGAUGUUCAUAGGUUGGAGAUCAGCAGGUGGCUCAUGCUACCAAAUUGAAAUCAUAUUUUUAAAAAUCAAUUUGGGAAAAUACACUCCCUAUGACAAGUGUUGAAUGUUGGGUGGUAGGUAUGUUUGAACCUUGAUUUUCAGGAUAUAGCAAGUGAAGUUAUCUAGAGAUAUAUGGUGGACAUUAGCCUUUUAUUUGUCAGUACCCUGGAUGAACAAAUGAACAGGGAGCUGGAUAUACAAACUUGCAUCAAGGUAGGAAGCACAUUAAUUAGUGUAGAUGGGAGAAGAAAAUUGGAAAGGGACACUGAUAGAUUUAAUAAGUGGGCAUGUAUGGUAGCUGGCGUUCAGUAUGGGCAGGUGUUUGGGGUCAUUCUUUUGGUCCCGAAUAUUUUCUAAAUAGAAAUUAGUAACAUGAAGAGAUUUAUGAGCCUACGUGUACACAGAGAGCUGGUGGACUGGUACAGAGCAAUUAAAGGCUGGUGGAAUGUUGGCUUUUAUCACAAGGGGGUUCAAAUGCAAAGGGCUAAAAAAAAUUGUGCGGUGCCUUGGAUAGGCCUUACCUGAAACAGUGUGUUCAACUCCCAGCCCCAAAGCUCAGCAGCAAUACAUUGACCUUGGAAAGAUUCCCCUGGGGCGGCUACGCCUUCAGCUUCUUUGGCCCAAGCCUUGGCAUUCUUUCCCUGAAUCUCACUACCUUGCUCCUCUUUGUAAAGCCUACCUUUAUGAGUAAGCAUUUGAUCAUUUGCCCUAAACUCUAAAAUGACUUAGUGCCAAGAGAAACAAAAGGACUGCAGAUGCUGGAACCGAGAUGAGAAACACUAUGAUGCUGGAGGAACUCAGCAGGCCAGGCAGCAUCUGUGGAGAAAUGCAGGUGGUCAACGUUUUGGGUCAGGACCCUUCUUCAGGACUGAAGAUAGGAAAAGGGGAAGUCCAAUCUAUAGGAGGGAAAAGCAGAGCAGC
This is a long non-coding RNA of Pristis pectinata (smalltooth sawfish), 2731 nucleotides long. RefSeq lists it as uncharacterized. NCBI's taxonomy places the organism in Eukaryota, Metazoa, Chordata, Chondrichthyes, Rhinopristiformes, Pristidae. The transcript is spliced from 3 exons. The record is from RefSeq and is a predicted model, not a curated record.